AUUGAACGCUGGCGGCAGGCCUAACACAUGCAAGUCGAGCGGAUGCAGUGAGCUUGCUCCUGGAUUCAGCGGCGGACGGGUGAGUAAUGCCUAGCAAUCUGCCUGGUAGUGGGGGAUAACUUCCGGAAAUGGGCGCUAUUUCCGCCUACGCCCUGAGGCAUCACGUGGGGGAUCUUCGGACCUCACGCUAUCAGAUGAUCCUAGGUCGGAUUAGCUAGUUGGUGGGGUAAAGGCCUACCAAGGCGACGAUCCGUAACUGGUCUGAGAGGAUGAUCAGGCACACUGGAACUGAGACACGGUCCAGACUCCUACGGGAGGCAGCAGUGGGGAAUAUUGGACAAUGGGCGAAAGCCUGAUCCAGCCAUGCCGCGUGUGGGAAGAAGGUCUUCGGAUUGUAAAGCACUUUAGGUUGGAAGGAAGGGCAGUAAGUUAAUACCUUGCUGUAUUGACGGUACCAACAGAAUAAGCACCGGCUAACUUCGUG
This 484-nucleotide ribosomal RNA is filed under the name uncultured bacterium. RNAcentral's name for it is "partial 16S ribosomal RNA". It matches the Rfam family "Bacterial small subunit ribosomal RNA", at positions 30 to 507 of the family's 1533-position model. The record is from RNAcentral.